This 72-nucleotide transfer RNA is filed under the name Camelus bactrianus (Bactrian camel). It matches the Rfam family "tRNA". From Rfam's summary of the family: Transfer RNA (tRNA) molecules are approximately 80 nucleotides in length. The record is from Rfam by way of RNAcentral. Lineage: Eukaryota; Metazoa; Chordata; Mammalia; Artiodactyla; Camelidae. RNAcentral also lists the same sequence under 2 other names.
AAGGGUAUAGCUCAGUGGUAGAGUGUAUGCUUAGCAUGCACAAGGUCCUGGGUUCAAUCCCCACUACCUCCA